Wasmannia auropunctata (little fire ant) is the source of this 194-nucleotide long non-coding RNA. RefSeq lists it as uncharacterized. The transcript has 2 exons. The record is from RefSeq and is a predicted model, not a curated record. NCBI's taxonomy places the organism in Eukaryota, Metazoa, Arthropoda, Insecta, Hymenoptera, Formicidae.
GAAACACAAGAUAAAGAAAACAAUUAAUAGUAAAAUUAGCAGAAAAGGGCAUGAUAUCGAUACUUGCAUCUCUUUGAGUGUACCUUUUGUGCGAUGCCAAAUGAUUGUCUCGCUGCGCUUAUAGUUCUUAAUUAUUUUAACACUGGAAAUUAAAUUAUCAUAAUACAGAAAUAAACCUAUUGUAGUUGUAAUUA